AAUGGGCAUGCUUUUUUAUUUUAUAUAAUGAUGGUCAAGAAUCAAGAUUAUCUUGGACACACCUCAACUAAUUAUAGAAGAUACAUAUUACCUCUCACUAGCACAAGUACUGAAUAACUCUGUUCACGAAGACUUAAACAAAUGAGAAGAAAGCACAUACAAAUUUUUUUGUUUCCGCUAGAAUUUGAACAUUAGACCUCAUGAUUUUCAAUCACUUCAUUGAUCACUAAGCCACAUCCUUGAGUACAUACUAGAGAUGAAGAUAUUUUGUAAAGUAUGUGCCUAAAGUACCCCUAUGACAAUAUAUGAUUUUAUAUAUAAUCCGCUAUUUGUCUAAGUAGAAAGGUUGCUUCCUAUAGACCCUCGGCUCAAAGAAGGAAAGGUAAACCAUUAUGGACUAAAAUUGAGAAGAGCCCAACCCAGCAUUCCUCUCAUUUCUUGGGGUCACACUAAACCUGUUUACCAACUUUGAUUACUUCAAGGAAAUGACAAUAAACAUCUUUUUUUUCUCCACUUGGAUUACAAGAUAAUGUUCAAGCAGUUGAUCAAUAUGAAGUUCACCUGAAUAGUUCUUCGAAACAAAGAACAUGGAUAGAGAUAAUACCUCAGAAGUGGGGACUUUUCUGAGCGAAAUCCCGUCUUCCAACAAGCAACAAUCUCAUUUAAGGUCAGGGGAUGUGGUUGCUUUGGUGUUUACACUUCCCAGUGCCUGCUGAAAUGCUCAGUUGAUGGCGCAGACACUGACUUUAACCUCGGCAACGAAUCUGGAUUGCUGACCAUGACUAUAUACCAGUUCCAAAAGAGGAGAUAUACAAAUGACAUUUAACAGAAUAAUCAUAUAGUAAUAUUUCAAACUCAAAUGAACCUAAUCAUUGGUUAGACCAAAUAUUGGAUAAAAGCUUUUGUAUUGUGCAAGAGAAAUGUGAGUCGGAAAAUGAGGCUGAUUAGGUCUCCUCAGGGAAAAUUAGUUCUUUCUCUAUAGUAAAGCUAUCUGGAUUGUAGCAUCUAAUAUCAUUCCCACAUUUGCCCUCUUCCAUCUAGCCUUUAUCUAAUAAAUUCAGCCCUUACUAUGUCUUUUAAGAUCUCUCUGGCUUCGUUGUUUGGACUCUCCAAAAAGCAAUUGUAUCUGAUCCUCCAAAAAUGCACUACUUUGGGAGGAUCCAACAUGCACCACUCGACAAUUUUGAAGAGUCCGACAACAUAGCUCUCUGGCUUUACUCUCUUAUUACAAGUCUCAACCCCUCCUUCCCCUGUCCAAAACCAAAGGAAAAAAGAGACAAUUCCUGAAGUAGGGUCUUUGCAUUAUAUUAUCAAUGGAAUGCUAUUUACCAAAAAU
Molecule: long non-coding RNA, 1336 nt
Organism: Solanum tuberosum (potato)
Lineage: Eukaryota; Viridiplantae; Streptophyta; Magnoliopsida; Solanales; Solanaceae
Exons: 2
Source: RefSeq, a predicted model, not a curated record